UACAGAGGGGGCAAGCGUUGUUCGGAUUUACUGGCGUAAAGGGCGCGUAGGCGGUCGUGACAAGUCACUUGUGAAAUCUCCGGGCUUAACUCGGAACGGUCAAGUGAUACUGUCGGACUAGAGUACAGAAGGGGCAACUGGAAUUCUCGGUGUAGCGGUGAAAUGCGUAGAUAUCGAGAGGAACACCUGCGGCGAAGGCGGGUUGCUGGGCUGAUACUGACGCUGAGGCGCGAAAGCCAGGGGAGCGAACGGG
This 253-nucleotide ribosomal RNA is filed under the name uncultured bacterium. RNAcentral describes it as "partial 16S ribosomal RNA". It matches the Rfam family "Bacterial small subunit ribosomal RNA", at positions 524 to 776 of the family's 1533-position model. The record is from RNAcentral.